GUCUAGCUGACGAAUCCUAAAUAGGACGAGAUGCGCGUCUCGGAU
Molecule: non-coding RNA, 45 nt
Filed under: Schistosoma mattheei
Lineage: Eukaryota; Metazoa; Platyhelminthes; Trematoda; Strigeidida; Schistosomatidae
Source: RNAcentral